CUCUAAGUAACCAGCGACUCUUGAAGCAGAUAGUCCAAUUCAGAGUGCACAUUGACCGUAUGAAGAAGGAACUUCCCAGGCUAAAGGGCCAGGUACGGGACCUCCAGAUGCAGAGGAAGGACCCACGGGAGGUGGUCUUUGCCAGUGUCCUGCUUCGGAAACCCAAGUGUACUCCAGACAUGGAUGUCAUCCUCAAUAUCCCUGAGGAAGAAAUUCUUCCCUUUUAGCCCUGGCACAGGAUAGGACUCUACCCUGGCUGGUCAUGUCCGACAUCCCUUGUCUUUCUCCCAAUCAUCGUUGUUCUCCAUCCUGGGAGCUAUGUUCCCAGCUUCAUGUAGGACAUCUUAGUCCAUUUAGAGGAGUUUUCAGCAACUUCUUCACCCUCUGAUUUUUACCUCUUUUUCACUUGAUGC
RNAcentral lists this long non-coding RNA (413 nucleotides) under Vombatus ursinus (common wombat). RNAcentral describes it as "lncRNA (ENSVURG00010014079.1)". The record is from RNAcentral. Lineage: Eukaryota; Metazoa; Chordata; Mammalia; Diprotodontia; Vombatidae.